CUCCAAUUUGUCUACUGCGAUUUGGUGCUACACACGUGCUACAAUGGACAAUACAAAGGGCAGCGAAACCGCGAGGUCAAGCAAAUCCCAUAAAGUUGUUCUCAGUUCGGAUUGUAGUCUGCAACUCGACUACAUGAAGCUGGAAUCGCUAGUAAUCGUAGAUCAGCAUGCUACGGUGAAUACGUUCCCGGGUCUUGUACACACCGCCCGUCACACCACGAGAGUUUGUAACACCCGAAGCCGGUGGAGUAACCAUUUGGAGCUAGCCGUCGAAGGUGGGACAAAUGAUUGGGGUGAAGUCGUAACAAGGUAGCCGUAUCGGAAGGUGCGGUUGGAUCACCUCCUAAAA
RNAcentral lists this ribosomal RNA (349 nucleotides) under Staphylococcus lugdunensis. RNAcentral's name for it is "bacterial SSU rRNA". It matches the Rfam family "Bacterial small subunit ribosomal RNA", at positions 1188 to 1533 of the family's 1533-position model. Lineage: Bacteria; Bacillati; Bacillota; Bacilli; Caryophanales; Staphylococcaceae. The record is from RNAcentral.